Bradyrhizobium sp. NAS80.1 is the source of this 73-nucleotide non-coding RNA. The record is from Rfam. NCBI's taxonomy places the organism in Bacteria, Pseudomonadati, Pseudomonadota, Alphaproteobacteria, Hyphomicrobiales, Nitrobacteraceae.
GCCGCAAUAGCUCAGUCGGUAGAGCACGUCAUUCGUAAUGACGGGGUCGGGGGUUCGAAUCCCUCUUGCGGCA